This 94-nucleotide transfer RNA is filed under the name Afipia carboxidovorans OM5. Its description in RNAcentral is "Oligotropha carboxidovorans OM5 tRNA-Ser". It matches the Rfam family "tRNA". Rfam says of the family: Transfer RNA (tRNA) molecules are approximately 80 nucleotides in length. Lineage: Bacteria; Pseudomonadati; Pseudomonadota; Alphaproteobacteria; Hyphomicrobiales; Nitrobacteraceae. The record is from RNAcentral.
UGGAGACGUGGCCGAGCGGCUGAAGGCACUCGUUUGCUAAAUGAGCAUACCUUGAAAAGGGUAUCAUGGGUUCGAAUCCCAUCGUCUCCGCCAU